UGGGGAAUAUUGCACAAUGGGCGCAAGCCUGAUGCAGCCAUGCCGCGUGUAUGAAGAAGGCCUUCGGGUUGUAAAGUACUUUCAGCGGGGAGGAACGGAGUAAAGUUAAUACCUUUACUCAUUGACGUUACCCGCAGAAGAAGCACCGGCUAACUCCGUGCCAGCAGCCGCGGUAAUACGGAGGGUGCAAGCAUUAAUCGGAAUUACUGGGCGUAAAGCGCACGCAGGCGGUCUGUCAAGUCGGAUGUGAAAUCCCCGGGCUCAACCUGGGAACUGCAUUCGAAACUGGCAGGCUAGAGUCUUGUAGAGGGGGGUAGAAUUCCAGGUGUAGCGGUGAAAUGCGUAGAGAUCUGGAGGAAUACCGGUGGCGAAGGCGGCCCCCUGGACAAAGACUGACGCUCAGGUGCGAAAGCGUGGGGAGCAAACAGG
RNAcentral lists this ribosomal RNA (429 nucleotides) under Chloroflexota bacterium. RNAcentral describes it as "Chloroflexi bacterium partial 16S ribosomal RNA". It matches the Rfam family "Bacterial small subunit ribosomal RNA", at positions 355 to 776 of the family's 1533-position model. The record is from RNAcentral. Lineage: Bacteria; Bacillati; Chloroflexota.